ACGCUGGCGGCACGCUUAACACAUGCAAGUCGAACGGAGUUUAUUGGAGCUUGCUUUGAUAAACUUAGUGGCGGACGGGUGAGUAACACGUGAGCAAUCUGCCCUUAAGAGGGGGAUAGCAGUUGGAAACGACUGAUAAUACCGCAUAAGAUAGUAGUACCGCAUGGUACAGCUAUAAAAGAUUUAUCGCUUAAGGAUGAGCUCGCGUCUGAUUAGCUAGUUGGUGAGGUAACGGCUCACCAAUGCAACGAUCAGUAGCCGGACUGAGAGGUUGGACGGCCACAUUGGGACUGAGACACGGCCCAGACUCCUACGGGAGGCAGCAGUGGGGAAUAUUGCACAAUGGAGGAAACUCUGAUGCCAGCGAUGCCGCGUGAGGGAAGAAGGUUUUAGGAUUGUAAACCUCUGUUGACAGGGACGAUAAUGACGGUACCUGUUGAGGAAGCUCCGGCUAACUACGUGCCAGCCGCAGC
RNAcentral lists this ribosomal RNA (473 nucleotides) under uncultured bacterium. Its description in RNAcentral is "bacterial SSU rRNA". It matches the Rfam family "Bacterial small subunit ribosomal RNA", at positions 33 to 518 of the family's 1533-position model. The record is from RNAcentral.